Ostrea edulis (European flat oyster) is the source of this 410-nucleotide long non-coding RNA. RefSeq lists it as uncharacterized. NCBI's taxonomy places the organism in Eukaryota, Metazoa, Mollusca, Bivalvia, Ostreida, Ostreidae. The record is from RefSeq and is a predicted model, not a curated record. The transcript is spliced from 2 exons.
GAAGAUUAUUCAUCAUUGCACAGCAUUGAAAUAUCAACCGUACCUGUAUCUGCUUCAAGUACAAUUUAUACCGAGGUUACAACAGAGGCUGCACCGAAAUCUACCAACAUCCCCAAUACGGACAACAUUUGUGCCGAGGAGAGGGGAAAUGUAAAUGAAAGCAAUUCUACAUCUUUAAUUGCUGGUUUUAUCAGUCUUCUGAUCCUUGUGGGAAUUUUGCUGACCCUGUAUGCAAUGUCGUAUUUUCAUAAAAGUCGCAUGUAUAUUUCAAGUAGAUACAGCGAGUAAAGCACACUUUGGAAUUAUGAAACUUACGGCCCCUGCGUGCAAUCAAUAUAUGACUGCAUGAACUAUUUUUUUUUUUUACAUGUAUCUAACAAAAGUAACAAUGCAAUACAAGACUCAAGUUU